GUGAUUGUAGCUCAGUUGGUUAGAGCGUCGGAUUGUGGUUCCGAAGGUCGGGGGUUCGAGACCCCUCAUUCACCC
Molecule: transfer RNA, 75 nt
Filed under: Chryseobacterium lathyri
Lineage: Bacteria; Pseudomonadati; Bacteroidota; Flavobacteriia; Flavobacteriales; Weeksellaceae
Also listed under: 9 other names
Description: tRNA-His
Rfam family: tRNA
About the family: Transfer RNA (tRNA) molecules are approximately 80 nucleotides in length. Their secondary structure includes four short double-helical elements and three loops (D, anti-codon, and T loops).
Source: RNAcentral